This 70-nucleotide transfer RNA is filed under the name Mus musculus (house mouse). It matches the Rfam family "tRNA". From Rfam's summary of the family: Transfer RNA (tRNA) molecules are approximately 80 nucleotides in length. Lineage: Eukaryota; Metazoa; Chordata; Mammalia; Rodentia; Muridae. The record is from Rfam by way of RNAcentral.
GAGGGUGUAGCUCAGUGGUAGAGUGCUUGGCUGAUAUAUACAAAGUCCAGGGUUCAUCCCUGUCACCUCA